RNAcentral lists this non-coding RNA (30 nucleotides) under Homo sapiens (human). The record is from RNAcentral. Lineage: Eukaryota; Metazoa; Chordata; Mammalia; Primates; Hominidae.
UCUAGUCCAACACCCAGACUCUGAGAUUGC